GGGUUGUGAGGUUAAGCGACUAAGCGUACACGGUGGAUGCCCUGGCAGUCAGAGGCGAUGAAGGACGUGCUAAUCUGCGAUAAGCGUCGGUAAGGUGAUAUGAACCGUUAUAACCGGCGAUUUCCGAAUGGGGAAACCCAGUGUGUUUCGGCACACUAUCAUUAACUGAAUCCAUAGGUUAAUGAGGCGAACCGGGGGAACUGAAACAUCUAAGUACCCCGAGGAAAAGAAAUCAACCGAGAUUCCCCCAGUAGCGGCGAGCGAACGGGGAGGAGCCCAGAGCCUGAAUCAGUGUGUGUGUUAGUGGAAGCGUCUGGAAAGGCGCGCGAUACAGGGUGACAGCCCCGUACACAAAAAUGCACAUAUUGUG
Molecule: ribosomal RNA, 370 nt
Filed under: Escherichia coli
Lineage: Bacteria; Pseudomonadati; Pseudomonadota; Gammaproteobacteria; Enterobacterales; Enterobacteriaceae
Description: bacterial LSU rRNA
Rfam family: Bacterial large subunit ribosomal RNA
Source: RNAcentral